Long non-coding RNA from Papaver somniferum (opium poppy), 2668 nucleotides. RefSeq lists it as uncharacterized. NCBI's taxonomy places the organism in Eukaryota, Viridiplantae, Streptophyta, Magnoliopsida, Ranunculales, Papaveraceae. The record is from RefSeq and is a predicted model, not a curated record. The transcript is spliced from 3 exons.
UUCCCUGCUGAACCCAACUUCUCCUCCUCUUCGUUCAUUGUUAGCUCGCCUCCACCUCCUUCAAUCCCUUCAUUAGCAGAUUCACCACCACCACUUUUCAUCAACAGAUUCAAUCACCACCACCAUCACUCUUCGUCACCAAUUAUUUCUAGGAUUUGUUUUCGAUCCAGGGAUUUCUUAUCCGUUCACAAGAAAAUUAGGGUUUUUGAGUUCAAAUUUGGAAUGUUUGAUUUGAAAUUGAAGGAGGAUUGAAAUUGGUGAAUGGGAAUGUUUAAUUAGGUGAUUAGAUUUCAAUAAGAAUUUUUCGAAAGUUGAAGGAGGAUUGAGACCGAAUGAGAAUCAAAGUUCUUUUUCAACUUUCGCCAACUUCUCAUUGAAAUUGAACCACUACCACCACGAUCUUCAAAACAUUGAAGGUUAUGGUUUUAAUUUGAGGAUUUGAUUUUAAAGAAGAACAUUAAUUGGGAAAUUGAGGAGUUCGGGUUUUCUAGAACAAUAGUUCUAGGGUUUCAGUUGAGGCGAUUGGUGAAGUAGCAUUUCAGAGGGUGCUAAGGAUUGGGAGGCUAGAGGGCUUGAUGCUGGGCUGCGGCUUGUGCAAAAGUUAAUUGGCUGAAUUAAAGACAAAUAAAAUAUAAUAUUGGAUGCAAUGGAACUGAAUUCAGCUUCUGUGCUUGAGCCGGAAUGAAAAUGUAAUAGAAGUUGAUUACAGGCCCUAUGUUUUGAUAUUCUGUGGAUUUGAUGUGUAGUGGCAAGAAGAAGAAGAGAGGUUAAAGGGCAGCAGGAGGUCAAAAUGCUUUAUUUUCACCCCGUGUUAUUAAUGGAAUGUACAAGACCAUACAAGUUCUCAUUCGGGUGGAGUUCGAGAGGGUUUCAACCAUCUGAUUUCGCAAGAUGGAAAUCCAUGGCGUCGACUGUUAGUAUUAAAGAAGAAGUGGCUGAAAUAAGAGCUAGCAGGGGAAGAUAGCAGCGUCCUACAACAGCAGCAACAAGUUGGGUUACUAUGGGUUCCGAAAUUGGUUAGGCGAAACUAUUGGUUUACUGACUGAUAAGUGAAAUUGAAGACUGCAUGUGUUGUUGUCAUGAAUCAACUUGGAUGUACCAAAGAUUGAGAGUGUAGACUGUGAUGGUAGUAUGGGCAGUUAUUGAGAUGAGAAUGAAUAUGGAAUCAAGCUUCUACUCGAACUGAAGCAGCAACGUCGACGGAAAUGUGGGGUUUCUUAUUGUGGUCUGUACUUCAAGCUGUUGAUCUCAAUGGAUCGGCAGUUGAAGGAAAUGCUAGAAGACAACGGAAGGAAGGAAACUAGAUCGAUUCAGUAAACUGAAAGUGAUCAGUUGGUGGAGCAACUGAAAUAGGAAAUAGUGCUUCUCACGGGAAGUGGAAAUGGCAUUGUGGUUCAUUCUUAUUGCAGUGGCGAAGAUGUUUCUCGGCUGGUGAUGUUGGCUGAAAACGAUGGAGUCUGUAUGGUUCUCAGAUUUGAAUGGACUGAAAUUAGGGUUGCAAGGUUAAUUGGCUAAGCUACCGGUGGAGGAUGGUCAGGGAGGUAUUUGCUGCCAUGGUUGCAAUAGGUGAUUGGUUGAGCUGAGUGCAAUCACUGAAAUGGAUGGUUGCUGGCUUUUGCAUUUGAAGAUCAGUUGAAGACAUCCAGAAGUUCAGGGAAGUGGACAGUGGUUAAUUCAUAUUGCAGUAGUGAAGAUGGAGAGUUGGACGUGACUGAGAUGGUUUGAAUGGGGUUUGUAUGGAGUUGUUGAAGAAGGUGUAGUGGCUGAUGUGAAUCGAGUAUACAGCAAGGACGUACAUGAACAUGGAAGCUAACAAUCCACGGAAUGAUCUGAGGUUGAUUAGUGGCUGAUUUAGUUCAACUCAUAACCAUGGUAUAAUCUCGUUACAGAACAACAACAAUAUGUUCGGGCAGUCGACAGUGAAGAUUGGAAGAUGGAGAAUAAGAUAGAUGACAUUAUUGAAGCUCUUUACGACAACAGAGACAUCAACAAACGAUAUUUUGGGGUUAUUCUCUACGUCAAUAGUGAAGUCGAGUUGAUGGUUUCUCUAAUUCCCACUAUCUAAAAUGAAUGUUGGUUAUGAUUGCAGCAAUAACAAAUGGGAUUGGGGUUCGCAAGGUUCAAAUGGGGAUAAAUUGCAUUGCCUCUAUCUUGGUGAUUUGUGGAUAUGAUCGGAACUGGAUUUAAUGGGUGCUGAUUUGUUUUGCUCUCGAGCUCGAGUUGGUGGUGUUGCUGGUGACGAGAUUCUAAAGUGGAUUUGGCAACCGGAGUUUGUAAUGGACCGGCCUGGGCUGGAUUUUGGAAGGCAGGUAGUGAUUGUUAUCAGGGUCGUUCCUGGGAAAAAUUUGCCCCGAAGUGAAUUCAUUUUUUUUUUGCCCUAAACAACAUCAGUACCUUUUAUACUUAUAGAAACAUUCGAUUAAGGCAUCAACCUAGAUUCCGGUUGGUUGUUUUGAUGGGAUUGUAAGAAAGGGAAUUGAAAAAUGAAAAACUAUAGUGCGCCGUGAUCUGGGAAGAAAGGAGGCAUUAGAGCCGUAAAGGUGAAGAGGAAAGAACGAGAUAAAAACAAACUAAAACGUUUCUUCUCAAAGUUAAAUUGUAUAGAUAAUUUGUUUUAAACCCUUUAAAUUAAUGUAACUUGUAGUUCAGUCCAAAUUUUUUCUUUUUC